Long non-coding RNA from Aricia agestis (brown argus), 66 nucleotides. RefSeq lists it as uncharacterized. NCBI's taxonomy places the organism in Eukaryota, Metazoa, Arthropoda, Insecta, Lepidoptera, Lycaenidae. The record is from RefSeq and is a predicted model, not a curated record. The transcript is spliced from 3 exons.
AAAAAUCUAGAAGAUACAAUAUGUUCAUAUGAGGCAGAGGUAUGCAGUCUCCAGUCAGAAAUUACA